RNAcentral lists this ribosomal RNA (455 nucleotides) under uncultured bacterium. Its description in RNAcentral is "bacterial SSU rRNA". It matches the Rfam family "Bacterial small subunit ribosomal RNA", at positions 923 to 1379 of the family's 1533-position model. The record is from RNAcentral.
GCACAAGCGGUGGAGCAUGUGGUUUAAUUCGACGCAACGCGAAGAACCUUACCCAGGCUCGAACGGCGAGUGACAUCCGGCGAAAGUCGGCUUCCGCAAGGACACUUGUCGAGGUGCUGCAUGGCUGUCGUCAGCUCGUGUCGUGAGAUGUUGGGUUAAGUCCCGCAACGAGCGCAACCCUUGUCUUCUGUUGCCAUCACGUUAUGGUGGGCACUCUGAAGAGACUGCCGGUGACAAACCGGAGGAAGGUGGGGAUGACGUCAAGUCCGCAUGGCCUUUAUGUCUGGGGCUACACACGUGCUACAAUGGCCGACACAAACCGUCGCGAUACCGCAAGGUGGAGCUAAUCGGAUAAAGUCGGUCUCAGUUCGGAUUGCAGGCUGCAACUCGCCUGCAUGAAGUUGGAAUCGCUAGUAAUCGCGGAUCAGCACGCCGCGGUGAAUACGUUCCCGGGC